RNAcentral lists this long non-coding RNA (807 nucleotides) under Marmota monax (woodchuck). The record is from RNAcentral. Lineage: Eukaryota; Metazoa; Chordata; Mammalia; Rodentia; Sciuridae.
AUCUUAUAUAUUCUUGAUCACUUUAACAUUAUACAGUGACCAUCUUUGUCUUUUGUGACCAAUUUUGACUGACAGUCUAUUUUUGUGAUAGAAGUGUACCCUCCCCUACUCUCUGUUUACCAUUACGUGUGAUAUCUUUCACUAUCUUUUCAUUUUCACCUUAUGUGUAUCCUUAAAGGUGACAUGAGUCUUUUAAUAGGCAGCAAAUUAUUUCAUAUUGUUUUCUACAAAAAAAUCUUGUCUUGUCAUUCUAUCUUUCCACUGUAGAAUUUUAUUUACAUUUAAUAAAAGUUUUGACGGUAAGGCUUUUGUUAUUGUGUUUUGUUAACUGUUUUUUGUUGUGCAGUUUGAGUGUUUCUUUUUCUUCUCUUGCUGUCUUCUCUUGUGAUUUGGUGAUUUAUCUGUGGCGGAGUGGUAGGUUUAUAUUCUUUUGUCUUCACCGUUUAUGCACUUCCAAGAGAUUUUAACUUUAUGGUUACCAAGGGGCCUACAUAAAGCAUCUUAUAUUUAUAAAAUUUUAUUUUAACCUGAUAAUGACAUAGCAGCCAUCUCAUACAGAAACUACACUUUUACCAGGCCUCUGUUUUAUGAUAUUGUUGCCACGUUUUGCAUGUUUUUAUUUUGUGUGUCUAUUAGCAAAUCAUUAUAAUUACAAUUUGGAAGAUAUUUUUGUCCUUUAAAUUUUAUUGUAGAGGGCUGGGAUUGUGGAUCAGCGGUAGAGUGUUCGCCUAACACGUGCGAGGCCCUGGGUUCGAUCCUCAGCACCACAUAAAAAUAAAUAAAUAAAAUAAAGGUAUUGAGUCUAAC